RNAcentral lists this ribosomal RNA (543 nucleotides) under uncultured bacterium. RNAcentral describes it as "bacterial SSU rRNA". It matches the Rfam family "Bacterial small subunit ribosomal RNA", at positions 777 to 1330 of the family's 1533-position model. The record is from RNAcentral.
AAUAGAUACCCUGGUAGUCCACGCCGUAAACGAUGAGUACUAGGUGUAGGGGGUAUCGACCCCCUCUGUGCCGAAGCUAACGCGAUAAGUACUCCGCCUGGGGACUACGGCCGCAAGGCUAAAACUCAAAGGAAUUGACGGGGGCCCGCACAAGCAGCGGAGCGUGUGGUUUAAUUCGAUGAUACGCGAAGAACCUCACCCAGGUUUGACAUGCAUGUGGUACGGAUCCGAAAGGUGAAGGACCCCUCGGGGAGCAUGCACAGGUGUUGCAUGGCCGUCGUCAGCUCGUGCCGUGAGGUGUUGGGUUAAGUCCCGCAACGAGCGCAACCCCGUGUCGCCAGUUGUAUUUUUCUGGCGAGACUGCCGAGAAAACCUCGGAGGAAGGAGGGGACGAUGUCAGGUCAGCAUGGCCCUUACGCCUGGGGCUACACACACGCUACAAUGGGCGGUACAACGGGUUGCCAAGCCGCGAGGUGGAGCUAAUCCCAUCAAAGCCGUCCUCAGUUCGGAUUGCAGGCUGAAACCCGCCUGCAUGAAGCCGGU